GCGGACAGAUGGGAGCUUGCUCCCUGAUGUUAGCGGCGGACGGGUGAGUAACACGUGGGUAACCUGCCUGUAAGACUGGGAUAACUCCGGGAAACCGGGGCUAAUACCGGAUGCUUGUUUGAACCGCAUGGUUCAAACAUAAAAGGUGGCUUCGGCUACCACUUACAGAUGGACCCGCGGCGCAUUAGCUAGUUGGUGAGGUAAUGGCUCACCAAGGCAACGAUGCGUAACCGACCUGAGAGGGUGAUCGGCCACACUGGGACUGAGACACGGCCCAGACUCCUACGGGAGGCAGCAGUAGGGAAUCUUCCGCAAUGGACGAAAGUCUGACGGAGCAACGCCGCGUGAGUGAUGAAGGUUUUCGGAUCGUAAAGCUCUGUUGUUAGGGAAGAACAAGUACCGUUCGAAUAGGGCGGUACCUUGACGGUACCUAACCAGAAAGCCACGGCUAACUACGUGCCAGCAGCCGCGGUAAUACGUAGGUGGCAAGCGUUGUCCGGAAUUAUUGGGCGUAAAGGGCUCGCAGGCGGUUCCUUAAGUCUGAUGUGAAAGCCCCCGGCUCAACCGGGGAGGGUCAUUGGAAACUGGGGAACUUGAGUGCAAAAGAAGAGAGUGGAAUUCCACGUGUAGCGGUGAAAUGCGUAUAGAUGUGGAGGAACACCAGUGGCGAAAGCGACUCUCUGGUCUGUAACUGACGCUGAGGAGCGAAAGCGUGGGGAGCGAACAGGAUUACAUACCCUGGUAGUCCACGCCGUAAACGAUGAGUGCUAAGUGUUAGGGGGUUUCCGCCCCUUAGUGCUGCAGCUAACGCAUUAAGCACUCCGCCUGGGGAGUACGGUCGCAAGACUGAAACUCAAAGGAAUUGACGGGGGCCCGCAC
RNAcentral lists this ribosomal RNA (879 nucleotides) under Bacillus mojavensis. Its description in RNAcentral is "bacterial SSU rRNA". It matches the Rfam family "Bacterial small subunit ribosomal RNA", at positions 66 to 926 of the family's 1533-position model. The record is from RNAcentral. Lineage: Bacteria; Bacillati; Bacillota; Bacilli; Caryophanales; Bacillaceae.